Molecule: ribosomal RNA, 152 nt
Filed under: Nomascus leucogenys (northern white-cheeked gibbon)
Lineage: Eukaryota; Metazoa; Chordata; Mammalia; Primates; Hylobatidae
Description: 5.8S ribosomal RNA (ENSNLEG00000030267.1)
Rfam family: 5.8S ribosomal RNA
About the family: 5.8S ribosomal RNA (5.8S rRNA) is a component of the large subunit of the eukaryotic ribosome. It is transcribed by RNA polymerase I as part of the 45S precursor that also contains 18S and 28S rRNA.
Source: Rfam by way of RNAcentral
GACCUUCAGCUGUGGAUUACUCAACUCCUGCAUCACUGAAGAAUGCAGCUAGCUGUGAGAAUUAAUGUGAAUUGCAGGACACAUUGAUCAUCGACCCUUCCAAUGCACUUGCAGCCUGAGUUCCUCCCAGGGCUAUGCCUGUCUGAGCGUCG